RNAcentral lists this ribosomal RNA (396 nucleotides) under uncultured bacterium. RNAcentral describes it as "partial 16S ribosomal RNA". It matches the Rfam family "Bacterial small subunit ribosomal RNA", at positions 523 to 918 of the family's 1533-position model. The record is from RNAcentral.
AUACGUAGGGAGCGAGCGUUGUCCGGAAUUACUGGGUGUAAAGGGAGCGUAGGCGGGAGUGCAAGUCAGAUGUGAAAUACAUGGGCUCAACCCAUGGGCUGCAUUUGAAACUGCAUUUCUUGAGUGAAGUAGAGGUAAGCGGAAUUCCUGGUGUAGCGGUGAAAUGCGUAGAUAUCAGGAGGAACACCGGUGGCGAAGGCGGCUGACUGGGCUUUUACUGACGCUGAGGCUCGAAAGCGUGGGGAGCAAACAGGAUUAGAUACCCUGGUAGUCCACGCUGUAAACGAUGAUUACUAGGUGUGGGGGGACUGACCCCUUCCGUGCCGCAGUUAACACAAUAAGUAAUCCACCUGGGGAGUCCGGCCGCAAGGUUGAAACUCAAAUGAAUUGACGGGG